RNAcentral lists this ribosomal RNA (253 nucleotides) under uncultured bacterium. Its description in RNAcentral is "partial 16S ribosomal RNA". It matches the Rfam family "Bacterial small subunit ribosomal RNA", at positions 524 to 776 of the family's 1533-position model. The record is from RNAcentral.
UACGUAGGGGGCAAGCGUUAUCCGGAUUCACUGGGCGUAAAGGGAGCGCAGGCGGCACGGCAAGUCUGGUGUGAAAGCCCGGGGCCCAACCCCGGGACUGCAUUGGAAACUGCCGGGCUGGAGUGCCGGAGGGGUAAGCGGAAUUCCUGGUGUAGCGGUGAAAUGCGCAGAUAUCAGGAAGAACACCAGUGGCGAAGGCGGCCUACUGGACGGUGACUGACGCUGAGGCUCGAAAGCGUGGGGAGCAAACAGG